RNAcentral lists this ribosomal RNA (1055 nucleotides) under uncultured archaeon. Its description in RNAcentral is "bacterial SSU rRNA". It matches the Rfam family "Archaeal small subunit ribosomal RNA", at positions 1 to 1053 of the family's 1478-position model. The record is from RNAcentral.
GCGGCCGCUCUGUUUGAUCCUGCCGGAGGUCACUGCUAUCGGUGUUCGAUUAAGCCAUGCGAGUCGAGAGGCGUUAUGGCCUCGGCGGACUGCUCAGUAACACGUGGGUAACCUACCCGAGAGUCCGGGAUAACCCCGGGAAACUGGGGAUAAUACCGGAUAGAUCAAACAGGCUGGAAGGCGGUUUGGUUGAAACUUCCGGGGCUUUUGGAUGGGUCUGCGGCUGAUUAGGUUGUUGCCGGUGUAACGUACCGUCAAGCCUGUAAUCAGUACGGGUUGUGGGAGCGGGAGCCCGGAGAUGGAUUCUGAGACACGAAUCCAGGCCCUACGGGGCGCAGCAGGCGCGAAAACUCUACAAUGCAGGCAACUGCGACAGGGGAACACCGAGUGAUCCUCAUAUUGGGGGUCUGUCCACCCGCCUAAAAAGCGGGUGUUAGCAAGGGCCGGGCAAGACCGGUGCCAGCCGCCGCGGUAAUACCGGCGGCUCGAGUGGUGGCCGAUAUUAUUGAGUCUAAAGGGUCCGUAGCCGGCUUUGCAAGUCUCUCGGGAAAUCCAGCGGCUUAACCAUUGGUCGUCCGGGGGGUACUACAUUGCUCGGGACUGGGAGAGGCGAGAGGUACUCAGGGGGUAGGAGUGAAAUCCUGUAAUCCUCUGGGGACCACCGGUGGCGAAGGCGUCUCGCCAGAACAGGUCCGACGGUGAGGGACGAAAGCUAGGGGCACGAACCGGAUUAGAUACCCGGGUAGUCCUAGCCGUAAACGAUGCUCGCUAGGUGUCACAACAGUCGUGAACUGUUGUGGUGCCGUAGGGAAGCCGUGAAGCGAGCCACUUGGGAAGUACGACCGCAAGGUUGAAACUUAAAGGAAUUGGCGGGGGAGCACCACAACGGGUGAAGCCUGCGGUUUAAUUGGACUCAACGCCGGGAAGCUUACCGGGAUCGACAGUUGUAAGAAGGCCAGGCUGAAGACCUUGCCGGACUAUCUGAGAGGAGGUGCAUGGCCGCCAUCAGUUCGUACCGUGAGGCGUCCUGUUAAGUCAGGCAACGAGCGAGACCC